AAAAACGUUAUUAAAGAUCUAGACCUAAAUUAAUUAAUUAACUUGACUUAGACUUAGACACAGUAAGUCUAAGGCCUAAAUAACUUAUAAGGCUAUUAGAUCUACUUUUCUUAUUACAUAGUCUAAAUUAGUUUCUAGAUCUAGAAGUAGGGCUAGCACUAGAUAACUAGAUCUAGAAGUAGACUCUAGAUCUAUCUAGAAAUAGACUUAGAAGGUGAUAGAUCUCUAGAUUCUAGAUUUCUAUGUAUCAUUAUGUAAAUUUAGUUCUAUUAUAGACUAUAGAUUUAGACAUACAUAUUUAGAUCUCUAAUAUAAUUAUUAUAAUCUGUGUUCUUAGACAUAGAGGACUUAUUAGAUAUAGAUCUAGACUAGUACUAGUAGACUCUUAAAUUAUUUUAGAUCUAGAACUAUAUACAAGAUCUAGUGUGACUAGAGUAGAGCCCUAGAAUUAGAAAAGGAUAGAUAAUCAAGUAGAUCUAGAAUAAUCUAGACUAGAUUUCACUAGAUCUAGUCAAUAGAUUUAGACCUAGUAGUAACAAAUAAAAAUUAUUUGUUUUUUUAGUUUUUGUUCUUUAGGAGGGGUUUUGGGCCAAAGUCUUGUUCGGGUCUCUUGAUUUAGAAUGCACCAUUGAAGGACAUGGUCAGCAUUCUCUGGUGAUGGGCAAGUUUCUCUAGUCCCGACAUUUAACUUCCAGAACAUAUAUUGUCUCAUUCAGUGAACAAGCCUUUUCCUUUGUGGAGACUAAACAAGCAUUACUACUGGUCGAUUUUGACUGACUGUAAUUUGACAGCAGUCACAAGGAUAGAAACUAGUAAGCUAGUUCCACAGUUCCGGAACAUCAUGCACGAGUGUAAAAAGUAAAAUACUGCACAUUAAGUACAACUGUAUAUUUGUCAGGAUAUUUUAAUGUAAAAUGACAACAGCAAUUUGAAAAAAAAAUCGUAAAAUUGGUUUAAAUAAUUGCUAACUCUUGUUGUAAUUCCUUAACGUGAAGUGUGGGAAAAAAAAAGAAACAUGAAUAUAAUACAGUGUAAAUAUGAAUUAAAAGACAUUCUACACAGUUAGCUUAGAGUGUCUCUAUAAGUUGUAUAUAAAUAUGCGGCCCGCCAUUCCCAAUUUUUAAAAUAAUGCGGCCCUCGAUACAAAAAGGUUGCCCACCCCUGAUCUAAGAUAUUCAUGUUUUGGAUGUUAUGUAUGUCGACAUACCCGAUUUGAUUUUCUGGCCCAAUAAGGAGAGUCUCAGGCCUAAAAAAUUUAUUUGUACUUAUGACAGGAAGAUGACAGUAAUAAAUGACUGUUUUGAAAUUUUCAUUGAGAGACCUAGCAGCGUUAAAGCACAGGCACAAACCUAUUCUUCCUAUUAGCACAACACAGUAAAAUAUCUGAUUGGAACUCAUUACUUUCAAUAAAUGAAUUAAAAAUAUUUAUACUAAGCUUUAUAGUUUCUUUGGAUUUAAUAGCCUUUAAAUUUUUAUUUUUAGAAGUGAUGUUGUUCACAAGAGAAUCAAAUUUAACUUUUUGUUUUUUAAUGAGGUGAUAUCAAUCUCAGAAACCUUAGUUGGCAAAACUUUUUUAAGCUCUGAUGGAUUUAUCCAGUAAGAUAACAAGCCUGUAACUGUCUUACUCUCUUUUAGCCUGGUGUUGGCUUCCAGCAUAAAUAAAGUGUCUGCCACAUUUCUUCUUCUUCAUCGUUCUCAUUGUUAUGUUGGAGUGUUCAUAUGACUAGACCAGUACAUGAGAUGAACUGCGCAGUGGUUUCCAAAUCAGGUAGCUCUCCAUAUAGUUUUCUUUCUAUUGGGGUGAUUUGGGGCCAAUGUCUUAUACGGGCCUCUUGGUAGAGAGAGUAGUUUUGGAGGACGUGGUCGGCAUUUUCUGUUGAUACUCCACAUGGGCAGAUUUCACUGGUUCCAAUUUUGAGCUUCCGGAACAUGUGUUGUCGCAUUCUGUUGUGUCCGGUCCUGAGUCGAAAGAUUAGACGUUGGUCUUGUCGGGAUAGCUUAUAGCAGUGAUGCCCAAAGUAAGGCCCGCGGGCCAGAGUCGGCCCACGACGUGGUUCCAUCCGGCCCGCCGAAAAGUCGGCACUAAAUGUAAUAAAUUCUCCCCCCUUCAAAAAAAGUUGAAAAUGUAUCUUUACCUUUGUUAGGGCCCUCACUUUUUCUCUUAUUGGAUUGGUACCAUGACCUUUUAACGAGUAUGAGUUUGUGAAACGGAACUCUGAAUGAAGAAUCCUAUCUUCUUAUCUUAUAUAAUACAGACAUUACUUCAAAAAAGAAUCUACCCAGAAAAGUGAAUGGAUCUUUUUUGUGGAACAUGAUAAUAAGCCAACAUAUUUUGUUUGUAAAGAAAGUCUGGCUGUUAACAAAAACAACAUAUACACUGGAAUUAUAAAACAAAUAUGAAGACCUUCUUGGUUUGAGCCGCUUAUAAAAGAUUGGUUAAACUAUGCCUAGAGAUUUGAACAAAAAGAGACAAGAAAAUAGUUGGUGGUAAAAGUAGCUACAAUGCUUCUCUCAUUUUAAGUAGAAAUGAAGCAACAUUUUUUAGACGCGUAAAAAUGAUAGACUAUAACUAUCCCAUUAAUUAAUGUAAGAACUAGAUCAAAUAGUUUCAAAUGGUUUCAGGUGAAUUUUGAUUUCAUAUUUUACCAUUUUGUUGAUGUGGCCCGCAACACACGUGUCGAAAGUUAAAAUGGCCCGCAGGUCAAAUUAGGUUGAGCAUCACUGGCUUAUAGUAAGCGUCAUCUUUCUUGUGAUUUGGAUGGGAGCUCGUCCAUUUCUCAUUUAUUUUAUCUACAAUUAAUUUCUUCUGGAUAGAGUGCAGAGUUUACUUGUGAGUUUGUUCUCCCACUCUUGGCGAGUGUGUCAGCCUUCUCAUUUCCUGCUAGUUGUAUGUGAGCUGGUAUCCAUUGAAUAACAGUUUUUUUGCUGUUGUUGUUGAGCUUUGUAAGUGCUGUUCUGAGGUUUUUAAUAUGAGGGGAAUCAGAGUUUUGCAAGCUUUGGAGGUUUGUUUUCGCGUCUGUUAGAAAGACAAUCUGACUGUGAGGGGAACUUGGAUGAUUUGCUAACAUGGUAGCAGCUAGUGCUAGUGCUUCUCUUUCUGCUCUGUGACUGUCAGAGAACUCUCCAGUUGCAAUGGAUUUUUCUAGUUUUCCUCCAUCUGGCCAUUCGAUAAGUAUUCCAGCUCCUCCAUUUGUGGUGGCUUUAUGGGAUGAGUCAUCCGUGUAAACUCUGAUCCACUGAUUGCUAGGGUAAUUGGUAUGUAGAAAACAGUUCACUAUUUCCUUGAGCUCUGUUGGUCUGUAAUCAGAUUUCUUUUUAUGUUUUCAAUAUGGUCCCUUAUAGUAGGAAGAGGGCUUUCAUCCCAGGGUGGAGAUUCAUUAUAGUGUAUUGAGGAUUCCAGAGUAAUUUUUUCAAGUUGGUGUUUCUUUUUUAGGUUUAGAGAUUCCUGUAUGAAAUUGGUCCUUUUGAGACGUUUUUUUGUGCCAGUUUUGUGGAUUUUUGUUCUGAGUGGGUGCCUCUCCAAGGUUUCCAAUUUAGUGAAUUGGGAAAGGAUUUUUAUUUCUCUUCUUUCAUCCAGAGAGAUCAGGGCAGCGGUUUCCUCCAUAGCUCUUAUGGGUGUUGUUUUGAUUGCUCCUGUCAUUAUCCUUUGACCAAUAUUUUGAACCUUGUCUACUUUUCUUAGGUUGGUUUGGGCUGCUGAGCCCCAUGCUGUGGCACCAUACAGGUCUUACAUAACUGGUAUAGGUCUUUUUCAGGAUGUUGUGAUUAGCUCCCCAAUCUGUGCCAGCUAAUUUUUUCAAGAGGGAUAGUCUCUGGAUGCCUUUACUCUGUGUUUUAUCUAUUUGGUUUUUCCAGGUUAGUCUCGGGUCAUAGGUGACUCCAAGAUAAGUAGGGCUGUCAUUUUUUUUCUAAAUCUUCCAAAUCUAAUGUUAAUUUUAUUGUUUGUUGUUUUGUUGACAGUGAGAAUAUGGUAUAUGUGGUCUUUUUUGUGUUGAUGGACAUGCCCCAGUCUUUGGACCAAUUAUUGAGUUUAUCAAGAGCAUCUUGUAAUCGAAAUUUCAAUGUUCCUACAUAUUCUUCUGUGCUAAUUAUGGCAAGGUCAUCUGCAUACAUGCUGCUUUUAACUUUUCUAGGUGGCGAUUUUAUUGUUUACCAUGGAGUUGUCUACUUUUCAAAUUUUACUGACCAAGUUUUUUACAGUGACUGAUCCAUCAGCAGUUUCUGAAGCAGUAACUGAUAUCUCAAAAAAAUUUCGCUUUUCUGAUGGUGUCUAGUCACCUCAGGACCAGACACAACAGAAUUCGACAACAUAUGUAUUGGAAGCUCAAAAUCAGAAACUGAAAUCUGCCCAUGUGGAGUGUCACCAGACAAUGUUGACCAUCUUCUCCAAAACUGCUCUCUUUACCAAGAGGCUGUACAUGACACUGGCCCCAAAACAUGCCAAUAGAAAGAAAACUAUAUGGAGAGUUCCCUAAUUAGGAAACCACUGUGAAAAUAAUCUCAUAUACUAGUCCAGUCAUCUGAAUGCUCCAAUAAAAAAAUGAGAAGGAAGAAGAAAGAAGAUUGUAUGUACCAUUUUUGUUUGUUUGAGGAUGGGGAGAAAAGUGAUCUUAGAAUUCAAACACCAAAAGUAUGUGUCUUUAUGAAUUCAAUGUAAUUGAUACUAGGCUUUUUGGGCUGAAAAUAAAAUGCGGGAAAUUUUAUUGGAAGUGCAGAAAAAAAAAAUGUUUUUAGCCAAAAUAAACAAUGUAUAGCCUGAGAACAAAUCAGGUGGAAGAACCAAGGGUAAUGCUAGUAUACUAUAGAAGUAUCUUUUUUAUGCUUGCAACUUUAUAGAUGCAUAACAGUGUCACAAACUGUUUGUUAAUGUGAUAUGAAACAUAAUUUUUUUAUUUUUUUUGUUACACCUAUAAUCGCUCUAAAAUAGAUAACUGUCUCUAGUAACCUGCUAGUUGACCAUGACCAACCUUUUUCUAUCUUGCUUUGUAUGGUAUAAACUUUCCUAGUUUUGACUUUAAAUUGUUGUUCUAGUCAUGUCAGUUAUGCUUUAGGCUACUUUUAAUUGCAUGUAAAAGAUAAAAAUAGUGAAAACAAGAGUACAUAACAUUUUGUAAAGAAAUUAUUAAUAUUUUGCAUUUUUAGGGGAGCAACAUGGCUAUUGAAAAGCAGAGACCAUACAAACCUCAUAGAUGAAGAGUUUUAUUUUGUUGGUAAAGUCCUUGGUUUUGAGCCAGCAGAGAAACAUAGAAAGCUCUAUUUUGACAAAUAUAAAGAGUGACUUUAGCUCAACUCCUCACCAAGCUUUACAGUCUGUGACAUUUUUUUGGUAAAACUUUUAAUCAGAUUUAUGUGUGUAUACUUAAUUAACUACAUUUAUCAAGAAUACUAAAUUCAUAAAAAGAAGCUGCUUUAAAGGAUUAAAGAUAACUUUGACCCUUUUGAGAAAACAAAUUUAAACACAAGAUUUUGAAUUAAUUUUGUAAUUCUUUUAUAUUGUUUUUUUCUGAAAGCCACAUAACGACACAAGUAUUUAUUCAAGGUUUUGAAUGUAUGGUAUACUGUUAGGUUUAGUAUUGAGUCAUUCAGUAAAUUGUUUUUGUUUUGUGGUUUUUAUAAAUUAAUAAAUGGAAGUUUAUAUAAUGUGUUAUGCUUAUAUGUAUGAUUUUUUUUACUGAUCUAAAGAAAGAAACUUGAGGAUUUAAAUUUUUAUUCCUUUUGAAACAUGUAAGAAAUAUUAGAACAUUGGUUGGCAACAUUAUUAGUGUAAAAAUGUAUUUCACUUGGUAGUCAAGAAUGUUUAUAACUGAGAUGACAUCACUAAUUGUGGUUAACAAGGGUGCCAUGUUGUCAGCACAAUAACCAACCGCCUUUACUUUUCCUAACUCAUAUCAGGUACCCAUUAGAGCUGGGUGGACUCAAAGGCACCAUAAAGAUCCCAAAAUUAAAAUACCCAUCUUCACCAGGAUUUGAACCCAGGGUCCUCCUGUUUGGAAGUCAAGUGCUUUACCACUCAGCCACAUGCCUCCAUUAAAGGCUAGAUUUUGUGACAAUUAUUUUUAGGUCAGAGACUGAUGUAUGCACAAAGUUGUAGCUUUUUUAAAUUUUUAUUAAAUUUAUUUGUAUUUAACCACUGACUUAUUAAUCUCUGAAUUUUCAAAUUUAAGUUUGUAAUCAGUUAGUGUUGACCUUGGCUUGAUAAGCUAAAAGGAUUAACAAUAAUAAUAAUAAUAAUUAUAGCUUGUAUGUAGUGCUACUUUCAUGCUUACAGCAUGCUCAGAGUGCUGUGUUCCAAUCUUAUGUGUGGACCAGUAGGGGGGGGGGGGUUUGGGAGAGGGUUUUCCGUGCUGCCUUCGGGUACUCAGUAAACAGAACUCUGCUUGAAUCGUGUGUUGAACCUAGAGUCACCUUGAUAGGUAGCCGAGCCAAGCCAAGUUCAAGCAUACUUAGCCUCUUGACCACGCCUCCACAUUGAAAUUAAAUUGUAAAUGUUAAAUAUUUUUAAAAAUUUAAUACAGAAUUUGAUAUUUAUGAAAUAUUUAAUACAGAAUUUGAUAUUGAUUACAAAAAAUAAUACAGAAUUUGAUAUUGAUACCA
This is a long non-coding RNA of Biomphalaria glabrata, 6594 nucleotides long. RefSeq lists it as uncharacterized. NCBI's taxonomy places the organism in Eukaryota, Metazoa, Mollusca, Gastropoda, Planorbidae. The transcript is spliced from 4 exons. The record is from RefSeq and is a predicted model, not a curated record.